CCCACCCGAUCCACUCCCACCGCACCAAACACUCUCUCUCUCUCUCUCUCGUGCACAUCCCUAAAAAAAACUCUCUCUCAUGAACCUCACCCCCACCCUCGGUCCAGUUCCUCUCCCCCACUAUCUCCGCGCCGCCGCCGCCACCCACGUCGGCCGGUUCCGGCGAGCUCCGGCCGCGCGCAACAUACCCCCAAGCUCCGCCCCUCUAUCCCCCCUUCCAGAUCCGCGCCUCAAGGGUUGCACCCUUGCCCGCCGCUAGGGUUUCAGGCUCCUCUCGUGUUCUUGCCAGAAUCCACCACAAUCGGCGAUGGCGAGGCCGGAGCUUGCGGGAUCCGUCUACGGUGUUGCCCAGGUCACCAUGGUGCAGAGACGACAAUGAUGGCAAGAGGGCACAAACCUUGCCCUGAUCGAGGAGGAGGAGGAGGAGGAGGGGCGCACCUAGAUGCCAGCCCUGCUCUGCUCGAGGAGGAGGGGUGGGAGGGGUCUGCUCCUAGGGCGACCAAGAGGUCCUGCCCGAGCUCAAGCAUGGCCAUGAUGACCCACCACAGCAGCGACGGUGCUGCUGCACUUGUGCUAGUCAGUGAAGCUAAGAACCUUGGCCUUCAAGUUCUUGCAAGAACUAGAGGGUAUGCUGAUGCUGCUCAGGGGUGAUCGACGUGGACUACUGCGGCCUCGUGGGCGUCGUGCUCUUCAACCACUCGGAGACGGACUUCAUCGUGAAGCCCGGCGACCGCGUCGCACAGAUGAUCGUCCAGGUCAUUACGACGCCGGAGGUCGCCGAGGUGGAGGACCUCGACGCCACCGUCCGGCGGGAGGGAGUGCUGGGAUCCACCGAUGUUUGAACUCCGAGCCUUGGUAGAUACAUCUAGAGAAGUGGUCUAGUUGUUUGCAUCUAAUGUUAAAUGGGAUCUCGAGUUGAGAUGUUCAAUGUUGUAUCCAUGAAUGCUGCAAGUGCUAAGAUGGUUAUGUGAACUUAGUUUAUUUGCACUGGACGUGUUUUGAUUUC
Triticum aestivum (bread wheat) is the source of this 1006-nucleotide long non-coding RNA. RefSeq lists it as uncharacterized. The record is from RefSeq and is a predicted model, not a curated record. Lineage: Eukaryota; Viridiplantae; Streptophyta; Magnoliopsida; Poales; Poaceae. The transcript is spliced from 4 exons.